AACUUCUGCAAAAGGCUUGGUCAUAAGGAGAAAUUCUGCAGGUAGAAACAGAAGCAAGAAGGAUGCAACCAAAGCAGGAACUACAGCAUGCAAAUGUCACCGAGGUGUCCAGUGAGCAACGUGCUACAAUUCUCGUUGCAUCAAGUGAGCCGUCAGUGGAGGAUGAUACUCUCUUGGUGGUGGACAGUGAGUGCACCUCCCACAUGUGUAAGGAUGAGGCCUUGUUUGCAUAAU
Molecule: long non-coding RNA, 234 nt
Filed under: Carica papaya (papaya)
Lineage: Eukaryota; Viridiplantae; Streptophyta; Magnoliopsida; Brassicales; Caricaceae
Description: long non-coding RNA (CPAP_LNC009130)
Source: RNAcentral